UGUGUGUGUGUGGGUGUGUGUGUGUAUAUAUAUAUAUAUAUAUAUAUAUAUACACACACACCCACACACACACACA
This 76-nucleotide microRNA precursor is filed under the name Pelobates cultripes (western spadefoot toad). The record is from RNAcentral. Lineage: Eukaryota; Metazoa; Chordata; Amphibia; Anura; Pelobatidae.